Sebastes umbrosus (honeycomb rockfish) is the source of this 556-nucleotide long non-coding RNA. RefSeq lists it as uncharacterized. The transcript is spliced from 3 exons. NCBI's taxonomy places the organism in Eukaryota, Metazoa, Chordata, Actinopteri, Perciformes, Sebastidae. The record is from RefSeq and is a predicted model, not a curated record.
GCUACUCUCAGGUGGUAGUUUCAGUCAGUCGGUAGUGUGUUUGGGCCGCUGGACAUCUCAUGGUUCUUACCGCAAAAACUAACACAAUUAAGCGACACUAAACAAUCAGCUAGCUAAAUACUGAACAAGUAACACCGACUAAUAAACUACAGUCUGUAAAAUACAACUGCAGCGAGACGGAAGAAGAGACUGUGCUAAUGUUUGAUGAGCGCGUGGUUGGAUGAGACAACAUGACGUCACUUUACACUGAUACAGAUUGGUGCAGUCUCUGAUGUGACAGGGGAGUGAGUUCCAGAGGGAGGGGGCAGCUAUGGAGAAUGGUCUGUCACCACUGGUCCGGUUCCUGGUCCUGUGUGGUGGAGAUAGGAGGUUGGCGACAGAGGACAGAGGAUGGUGGUGGAUUUGGUCGGUGAGUGUUACAGCAGUACAAUGAGGACUCACCAUUCUGGCUGGCGGUUGAAGAGCGUGCUGGAGGGGUGGAGGUAAACCACCUGCUGGUCAAUCAGGGUACGGUACCCAUCAUGGGGAUGCUUCCUGGCAGAGUUCCUGAAGUAAC